AACGAACGCUGGCGGCAUGCCUAACACAUGCAAGUCGAACGAGACCUUCGGGUCUAUUGGCGCACGGGUGCGUAACGCGUGGGAACCUGCCCUUAUGUUCGGAAUAACUCCCCGAAAGGGGUGCUAAUACGGGAUAAUGUCUUCGGACCAAUGAUUUAUCGCCAUUGGAUGUUCCCGCGUUGGAUUAGCUAGUUGGUAGGGUAAUAGCCUACCAAGGCGACGAUCCAUAGCUGGUCUGAGAGGAUGAUCAGCCACACUGGGACUGAGACACGGCCCAGAAUCCUACGGGAGGCAGCAGUGGGGAAUAUUGGACCAUGGGCGAAAGCAUGAUCCAGCAAUGCCGCGUGAGUGAUGAAGGCCUUAGGGUUGUAAAGCUCUUUUAACCGGGAUGAUAAUGACAGUACCGGGAGAAUAAGCCCCGGCUAACUACGUG
This 433-nucleotide ribosomal RNA is filed under the name uncultured bacterium. RNAcentral's name for it is "partial 16S ribosomal RNA". It matches the Rfam family "Bacterial small subunit ribosomal RNA", at positions 29 to 507 of the family's 1533-position model. The record is from RNAcentral.